RNAcentral lists this long non-coding RNA (601 nucleotides) under Chinchilla lanigera (long-tailed chinchilla). Its description in RNAcentral is "lncRNA (ENSCLAG00000025923.1)". The record is from RNAcentral. Lineage: Eukaryota; Metazoa; Chordata; Mammalia; Rodentia; Chinchillidae.
AUUGAAUACAUUUUCUAGGAUUUUUUUUUUUUUGCCUACAAAAACCUAGUAGGACACUCAUCUUUCAGCAGCUUGCCUCUGGGGAGCAAUGUUCCAGUUUCCUGUACUCUCAGAGGUGGGGAAGGCAUGACAGGAAAAAGUACAAAGCUUCUUCAAAGCCAGACUACACGGAAAUAAGGAUGGCAGUAAGAAUCCUACUGCUGAAAAUGGGCUGGGGCAGUGAAAAGACCUGCACCCAGUGGAGGACAUCAGGGACAGUGUCAGGGAGCAUGCUUGACUGAGAUGACAAGAAGGAUGGGGGAAAUCUUGGCACUGGAAGUAAAACAUCAAAAGAACUUGCUGACAUAAAUGUGAUCUCCACCAAUGAUCUAGGAGGAAUUUCAGAGAAGAAAAGGCAGCAAAAGAUUUGAAAUAACUGAAAUAGCUCCUCACUUAUUCUUAGUUCCACAAUGAGACAGAAUUCUAGAAACUUGGAAAUAGCAAGCAUAAGGUCCUACCCUAGAAAAGCCAUGUGUCUACAAUAAGUGAUUUGGGAGACAGUUCAAGUAGUAGGAGCAAUCAGGAUCUAAGCUCUGGAAACUCAAUGCUGGCUCGAAUCACC